Transfer RNA from Lobosporangium transversale, 73 nucleotides. It matches the Rfam family "tRNA". Rfam says of the family: Transfer RNA (tRNA) molecules are approximately 80 nucleotides in length. Their secondary structure includes four short double-helical elements and three loops (D, anti-codon, and T loops). Further hydrogen bonds mediate the characteristic L-shaped molecular structure. tRNAs have two regions of fundamental functional importance: the anti-codon, which is responsible for specific mRNA codon recognition, and the 3' end, to which the tRNAs corresponding amino acid is attached (by aminoacyl-tRNA synthetases). tRNAs cope with the degeneracy of the genetic code in two manners: having more than one tRNA (with a specific anti-codon) for a particular amino acid; and 'wobble' base-pairing, i.e. permitting non-standard base-pairing at the 3rd anti-codon position. The record is from Rfam. Lineage: Eukaryota; Fungi; Mortierellomycota; Mortierellomycetes; Mortierellales; Mortierellaceae.
GGGGCUGUAGCUCAUUUGGUAGAGCGCUCCCUUCGCAUGGGAGAGGCACUGGUUUCGACUACCAGCUGCUCCA